Molecule: ribosomal RNA, 478 nt
Filed under: uncultured bacterium
Lineage: Bacteria
Description: partial 16S ribosomal RNA
Rfam family: Bacterial small subunit ribosomal RNA
Source: RNAcentral
GACGAACGCUGGCGGCGUGCUUAACACAUGCAAGUCGAACGGGAUUUAGUAGACAGAAGCCUCGGCUAAAGAUUACUAAUGAGAGUGGCGAACGGGUGAGUAACGCGUGAGCAACCUGCCUAUGACAGUGGGAUAGCCUCGGGAAACCGGGAUUAAUACCGCAUAAAAUCGUAGAAACACAUGUUUUAACGGUCAAAGAUUUAUCGGUCAUAGAUGGGCUCGCGUCUGAUUAGCUAGUUGGUGAGAUAACAGCCCACCAAGGCGACGAUCAGUAGCCGGUCUGAGAGGAUGAACGGCCACAUUGGAACUGAGACACGGUCCAAACUCCUACGGGAGGCAGCAGUGGGGAAUAUUGCACAAUGGGGGAAACCCUGAUGCAGCGACGCCGCGUGAACGAAGAAGGUAUUCGUAACGUAAAGUUCUGUCAUAUGGGAAGAUAAUGACAGUACCAUAGAAGAAAGCUCCGGCUAAAUACGUG